RNAcentral lists this ribosomal RNA (1177 nucleotides) under Mesobuthus eupeus (lesser Asian scorpion). RNAcentral describes it as "large subunit ribosomal RNA". The stretch from base 761 to 1101 matches the Rfam family "Archaeal large subunit ribosomal RNA", at positions 2148 to 2718 of the family's 2987-position model. The record is from RNAcentral. Lineage: Eukaryota; Metazoa; Arthropoda; Arachnida; Scorpiones; Buthidae.
CCUUAUUUUUGCAGAUUUGAAAGAAAGAAAUUAAUUAAGAAGAUUUUAAUUUAGUAGUAUUUUGGAAUAAGGAAUUUUUAGAACUGUGAAGGGGUAAAAUUGUAAAAAGAGAAAUUUUUAGGGAGUGUACCUUUUGUAUCAGGGCUUAUCAAAUUUUAUUAAGGAUUUAAUUGUCCCGAAGAGUAAUGAGCUAUAGUUUUUAGUAGAUUCUGUUUCAGAAGAGGAAGAAAAAAACUUUAGAAGUGAAAAGCUAUUCGCAUUAUUUGAUAUCUGGUUUCUCAAGAAAUAAAUUUAGUUUUAUUUUUAAUGAAAAGAAAAAUUUAAUCGGGAUAAGCUGGUUAAAAGCUCUCGAGCAGUUUAAUAUCUCUUUGAAAGGAAUAAAAUUUUCCUUUAGUUGUUGUAAUAGAAAAGAGAAAAAUUUUUAUUGGAGGUGUUUAUUGAGAAGUCAUUUAAAAUUCUUAGAAUUGUUUAAUUCUGAUAAGAUUAGUAGUAAAUAAAAUUUUAUAAGAGAAUUAAAGAGAAAUUACUUUCAAGAACUUGACUUUCUUUUCCGGAAAGUUUAACAAAAACCUAUUUUUAUGUUUUUAUAUAAAAUGUGCCCUGCCCUAUGCAAAAGUAAAUGGCUGCAGUAUUUCUGACUGUACAAAGGUAGCAUAAUAAUUAGUCUUUUAAUUGGGGACUGGAAUGAAAGGGUAAACUGGAAAAGCUUUUUUAAAAGUAAGAGGAUGAAGUUGACUUUUUAGUAAGAAGGCUAAAAUAGUUCUUAAAGACGAGAAGACCCUAUAAAACUUUAUAUUUAAUUUUCUCUUAGGUGAGAGAGUAGGUAUUUUACUGGGGCGGUAGAAAAAAAUGAAUCUUUUUCUAAAUCUAAAGACUUUAAAUCUUUUUAUCUAAAAUUUUUAAAAGAAGAAUAAGUUACUUUAGGGAUAACAGCUUAAUUCAUUUAGAAAGUUCUAAUUGACAAAUGUGUUUGUGACCUCGAUGUUGAAUUAAAAGUCCUUUUUAGUGCAAAAGCUUUGAAAGGAGGUCUGUUCGACCUUUAAAUUUUUCCAUGAUUUGAGUUCAAAUCGGUGUAAGCCAGGUUGGUUUCUAUCUUAAGAAUGAAGGUAGUAAAUUAGUACGAAAGGACCAUUUAUUUAAAAUUAUUUUAAUUUCAAGAUGGCAGAUUUUAUGCGGU